RNAcentral lists this ribosomal RNA (306 nucleotides) under uncultured bacterium. RNAcentral describes it as "bacterial SSU rRNA". It matches the Rfam family "Bacterial small subunit ribosomal RNA", at positions 28 to 334 of the family's 1533-position model. The record is from RNAcentral.
GACGAACGCUGGCGGCGUGCCUAACACAUGCAAGUCGAACGGGGUUGUUCCUUCGGGGACAACUUAGUGGCGAACGGGUGAGUAACGCGUGAGGAACCUGCCUUUCAGUGGGGGACAACAGUUGGAAACGACUGCUAAUACCGCAUAAUGUUGUCGGAUGGCAUCAUCUGACAACCAAAGCUUUAUGUGCUGAAAGAUGGCCUCGCGUCUGAUUAGAUAGUUGGUGAGGUAACGGCUCACCAAGUCGACGAUCAGUAGCCGGACUGAGAGGUUGAACGGCCACAUUGGGACUGAGAUACGGCCCAG